This is a non-coding RNA of Jeotgalibacillus malaysiensis, 104 nucleotides long. The record is from Rfam. NCBI's taxonomy places the organism in Bacteria, Bacillati, Bacillota, Bacilli, Caryophanales, Caryophanaceae.
AAUCCUUUUAAAUGAAGUCCAGAGAGGCUUUCAAAAGGGUUUCUGACAGUACACGUCUGUCUAAAACCGCUUUUUGAGCCUGCUCUCAAAAAGCGGUUUUUUUA